Molecule: long non-coding RNA, 942 nt
Filed under: Homo sapiens (human)
Lineage: Eukaryota; Metazoa; Chordata; Mammalia; Primates; Hominidae
Description: HSALNT0365773
Source: RNAcentral
AGCUGCGUUUGGGUCCCCUUCGAUGGUGUUGGGGUUUUGUUGUUUCGCUCUUUGCAAUAAAUUUUGCUGUUGCUCACCUUUUAGGUCCACACUACCUUUAUGAGCUUUAACACUCACAGUGAAGGUCUGCAGGUUCACUCCUGUAAACCAGCGAGACCAGGAAGCCACCACAAGAAACAACUCUGGAGCCGCCACCUUUAAGAGCCAUAACACUCACUGUGAAGGUCUGUGGCUUCACUCCUGAAGUCAGCGACACCACGAACCCACAGGGAGGAGCAAACAACUCCAGACGCACCACUUUUAAGAGGUGUAACACUCCCUGCGAAGGUCUGUGGCUUCACUCCUGAGGUCGGCGAAACUACGAACCCGCUGGGAGGAAGGAACAACGCGGAUGCGCCACCUUUAAGAGCUGUAACACUCCCUGCGAAGGUCCGCGGCCUCACUCAUCAAGUCGUGCAUAGACCACGAACUCUCUAGAAAGAAAAAACUUCGGACACACCUGAACAUUUGAAGGAACAAACUCCGGACACACCAUGUUUAAGAACUAUAAUGCCGUGAAGGUCCGCGGCAGGACCGGGACCAGGAACUCUUCAGAGGGAACCAAUUCCGGAUACACAGCUUCGUGGAAUGGUUCUGCACUGUGUGUGUGUGUGUUUCCCGUCAACCCUGUGCACACUAUUAGAAGAACACAAGCGUUAAGGCUCCCUCUCAGUCCUGCCGAUGGAAGACAUUGUGAUUUUGACCUUGUUGGAUGCUGCACCUGAAGGUGGAGGAAGAGGAAGAGCCUUGGGGGCUACCAUUCUGGCUGGAGAAGCGGCACGAGGCUCCCUCUUGUGGAUGCAGCAAGGAAACAAAGGAGAAAUAUAUUGCCAUAUAUUGAUUGGACUCUAUUCAGGGCUAUCUUGGAAACUGCAGCUUGAAGACAGCUGGGCCUCAGCAUAC